Molecule: long non-coding RNA, 847 nt
Organism: Spinacia oleracea (spinach)
Lineage: Eukaryota; Viridiplantae; Streptophyta; Magnoliopsida; Caryophyllales; Amaranthaceae
Exons: 5
Source: RefSeq, a predicted model, not a curated record
UUUUAUUUUUCCAAAUUUGCUCCUGUUUCUCAGUUUCUCUCUCCUCCUGUUUCAAUCUCAGCAGCUCCUUAGUCUCUCUCCCUCCAUUUUCGUUCUCCUUCGUGGUUCUCUCUCUUGCUGCAACCACCGCGCCGCCACCAUCUCCAAGCUUCCAUCAUCUACGCGUCGUCUUCUCUGCUGCAAUUUCUUCGAUUUUGAUGUUUGCAUCUGGAUAAUGCUGCAACACUUAAUUAUUCAUUUGAAUUUGCAAUAAUCGAGCUUAAAAUUUAAGGCGCAUGACAUAUGCAAUGACUCAAAUAGACAAAUCAUAGAUGCUGGAGAUUUGUUUAAUGCACUAGAGGAAGUUGAGUUUUCCGAGUUUGUUGAUCCACUCAGAGCUGCCCUUGAUGAAAGAUGACAAAUAUCGCUGUAGUGAAACUAGAUAUCAUAUUCCUUUCAAGUGUAUCAGAAGUGGAAAUGUAACAAAGGAAGCAAGUGGUAAAGUUCUCGAAAACAACCAUUCUACUCAAGAAGGAUCUGUUAAUGCAGAUAAUGCUGCAGCAAAAGUCCAACUUGAUAAUGGCAUGGUGUUUGAGGCAAUGCAGAUCCAAGUGGUGGUGUCGUUAAGGUGGUGAAUAUAUAUGAUAUUGAGGACGAUGUCGAAGAUGAAGAUGAUGCGAGAUUGUAUAUGGGAGCAAAUGUUGUGUGUAUUGAUUGAGAUUUGUGUAUUUCUUUAAGUAAUUUAUGGUGAAAUUAUUAAUUUUCGGUAUUUAAGAACGUUCUAAAAAUACUUUUAUUGUUAGUUUGAGAACAUUGAUAAACAUGUCAUAUAAACAAGAUUUUUUUUAUUAUUUUAUUAUAUUAUUAA